Molecule: ribosomal RNA, 253 nt
Filed under: uncultured bacterium
Lineage: Bacteria
Description: partial 16S ribosomal RNA
Rfam family: Bacterial small subunit ribosomal RNA
Source: RNAcentral
UACGAAGGUGGCAAGCGUUGUUCGGAUUUACUGGGCGUAAAGGGAGCGUAGGUGGUUAGGUAAGCCCUCCGGGAAAUCUUCAGGCUUAACCUGAAAAGGUCGGGGGGGACUGCCUGGCUAGAGGACGGGAGAGGAGCGCGGAAUUCCCGGUGUAGAGGUGAAAUUCGUAGAUAUCGGGAGGAACACCGGUGGCGAAGGCGGCGACCUGGGUAGAUACUGACGCUGAGGUGCGAAAGCGUGGGGAGCAAACAGG